Molecule: non-coding RNA, 45 nt
Organism: Schistosoma mansoni
Lineage: Eukaryota; Metazoa; Platyhelminthes; Trematoda; Strigeidida; Schistosomatidae
Source: Rfam
AUCCAGCUGACGAGUCCCAAAUAGGACGAAACGCGCAUCCUGGAU